This 301-nucleotide ribosomal RNA is filed under the name uncultured bacterium. RNAcentral describes it as "partial 16S ribosomal RNA". It matches the Rfam family "Bacterial small subunit ribosomal RNA", at positions 509 to 807 of the family's 1533-position model. The record is from RNAcentral.
CAGUCGCCACGGGAAUACGUAGGUGGCAAGCGUUGUCCGGAAUUAUUGGGCGUAAAGCGCUCGCAGGUGGUUUAAUAAGUCUGAUGUGAAAGCCCACGGCUCAACCGUAGAGGGUCAUUGGAAACUGUUAAACUUGAGUGCAGGAGAGAAUAGUGGAAUUCCUAGUGUAGCGGUGAAAUGCGUAGAGAUUAGGAGGAACACCAGUGGCGAAGGCGGCUUUUUGGCCUGUAACUGACACUGAGGCGCGAAAGCGUGGGGAGCAAACAGGAUUAGAUACCCCCGUAGUCCCUGUCUCUUAUAC